Molecule: non-coding RNA, 29 nt
Filed under: Homo sapiens (human)
Lineage: Eukaryota; Metazoa; Chordata; Mammalia; Primates; Hominidae
Source: RNAcentral
UCCCAAAACUUCCUCCAGUCAGCCGGUCC